RNAcentral lists this ribosomal RNA (407 nucleotides) under uncultured prokaryote. RNAcentral's name for it is "bacterial SSU rRNA". It matches the Rfam family "Bacterial small subunit ribosomal RNA", at positions 355 to 774 of the family's 1533-position model. The record is from RNAcentral.
UGGGGAAUAUUGCACAAUGGGCGGAAGCCUGAUGCAGCAACGCCGCGUGCGGGAUGACGGCCUUCGGGUUGUAAACCGCUUUCAGCAGGGACGAAGCUUUGGUGACGGUACCUGCAGAAGAAGCACCGGCUGACUACGUGCCAGCAGCCGCGGUGAUACGUAGGGUGCGAGCGUUGUCCGGAUUUAUUGGGCGUAAAGAGCUUGUAGGCGGUUGGUUGCGUCGAAAGUGCAAACUCAGGGCUUAACUCUGAGCCUGCUUUCGAUACGGGCUGACUUGAGGGAUGUAGGGGAGAAUGGAAUUCCCGGUGGAGCGGUGGAAUGCGCAGAUAUCGGGAGGAACACCAGUGGCGAAGGCGGUUCUCUGGACAUUUCCUGACGCUGAGAAGCGAAAGCGUGGGGAGCAAACA